AGUGAACGCUGGCGGUAGGCCUAACACAUGCAAGUCGAACGGCAGCACAGUAAGAGCUUGCUCUUACGGGUGGCGAGUGGCGGACGGGUGAGGAAUACAUCGGAAUCUACUUUUUCGUGGGGGAUAACGUAGGGAAACUUACGCUAAUACCGCAUACUACCUACGGGUGAAAGCAGGGGAUCUUCGGAUCUUGCGCGAUUGAAUGAGCCGAUGUCGGAUUAGCUAGGUGGCGGGGCAAAGGCCCACCAAGGCGAAGAUCGGUAGCUGGUCUGAGAGGAUGAUCAGCCACACUGGAACGGGGACACGGCCCAGACUCCUGCGGGAGGCAGCAGUGGGGAAUAUUGGACAAUGGGCGCAAGCCUGAUCCAGCCAUACCGCGUGGGUGAAGAAGGCCUUCGGGUUGGAAAGCCCUUUUGUUGGGAAAGAAAAGCAGCAGGUUAAUACCCCGCUGUUCUGACGGUACCCAAAGAAUAAGCACCGGCUAACUUCGUG
This 492-nucleotide ribosomal RNA is filed under the name uncultured bacterium. RNAcentral's name for it is "partial 16S ribosomal RNA". It matches the Rfam family "Bacterial small subunit ribosomal RNA", at positions 29 to 507 of the family's 1533-position model. The record is from RNAcentral.